AGUGGCGGACGGGUGAGUAACGCGUGAGAAUCUGCCUUGGGGUCGGGGACAACCACUGGAAACGGUGGCUAAUACCGGAUAAGCCGAUUGGUGAAAGAUUAUUGCCCGAAGAGGAGCUCGCGUCUGAUUAGCUAGUUGGUGAGGUAAGAGCUCACCAAGGCAGCGAUCAGUAGCUGGUCUGAGAGGACGAUCAGCCACACUGGGACUGAGACACGGCCCAGACUCCUACGGGAGGCAGCAGUGGGGAAUUUUCCGCAAUGGGCGAAAGCCUGACGGAGCAAGACCGCGUGAGGGAGGAAGGCUCUUGGGUUGUAAACCUCUUUUCUCAGGGAAGAAGCUCUGACGGUACCUGAGGAAUCAGCCUCGGCUAACUCCAUGCCAGCAGCCGCGGUAAUACGGAGGAGGCAAGCGUUAUCCGGAAUUAUUGGGCGUAAAGCGUCCGCAGGUGGCGAUUCAAGUCUGCUGUCAAAGCACGGGGCUUAACUCCGUAAAGGCAGUGGAAACUGAAUAGCUAGAGUGCCGUAGGGGUAGAGGGAAUUCCCGGUGUAGCGGUGAAAUGCGUAGAGAUCGGGAAGAACAUCGGUGGCGAAAGCGCUCUACUGGACGGCAACUGACACUCAGGGACGAAAGCUAGGGGAGCGAAUGGGAUUAGAUACCCC
RNAcentral lists this ribosomal RNA (659 nucleotides) under uncultured bacterium. RNAcentral describes it as "bacterial SSU rRNA". It matches the Rfam family "Bacterial small subunit ribosomal RNA", at positions 94 to 788 of the family's 1533-position model. The record is from RNAcentral.